Molecule: unclassified non-coding RNA, 240 nt
Filed under: soil metagenome
Description: partial contains 5.8S ribosomal RNA, internal transcribed spacer 2, and large subunit ribosomal RNA
Source: RNAcentral
AACGCACGAGACCUGCGGACCUGCGGAAGGAUCAUUACUGAGUGAGGGCCCUCUGGGUCCAACCUCCCACCCGUGUUUAACGAACCUUGUUGCUUCGGCGGGCCCGCCUCACGGCCGCCGGGGGGCAUCCGCCCCCGGGCCCGCGCCCGCCGAAGACACCUGUGAACUCUGUCUGAAGUUGCAGUCUGAGAAACUAUUUAAAUUAGUUAAAACUUUCAACAAUGGAUCUCUAGAUCGGAA